CUAUACAUGACUCUGCGCAUAUCAAUAAGCGGAGGAAAAGAAACUAACAAGGAUUCCCUUAGUAACGGCGAGUGAAGCGGGAAGAGCUCAAAUUUGAAAUCUUCAAGGUUUUACCUUGACGAAUUGUAGUUUAAAGAAGUGUUUUCUGUUGGAGUUUUGGUAAAAGUUCUUUGGAAUAGGACAUCAUAGAGGGUGAGAAUCCCGUAUUUGACCGUUACUUUCCAGCUGUGUGAUACACUUUCAAAGAGUCGGAUUGUUUGGGAAUGCAGUCCAAGAUGGGUGGUAAAUUUCAUCUAAAGCUAAAUAUUGGCGAGAGACCGAUAGCGAACAAGUACCGUGAGGGAAAGAUGAAAAGAACUUUGAAAAGAGAGUUAAACAGUACGUGAAAUUGUCAAAAGGGAGCGUUUGACACCAGUGUUGUUUAGUUGAAAAUCAAUUCAAUAGUUUUUGAUUCUAAGUAGUAUUGACUUCAUCAGCUUGCUGCUUUCUUCUCAGAAAUUAUUGAAUGCACUUUUCAGUUAACAAGUCAACAUCAAUUUCUUUUGUUGUAAAAGGGUAAGAGGAAGGUGGCUUGCGCUUCGGCUCAAGUGUUUAUAGCCUUUUAUCUCCUGCAAUCGGAGAGAUUGAGGGCUGCAGCGUAGAUCCUUCGGGGUUAGAUACAUUGGUGCUAAGCUAUAGCCUUGUAUAGACAACUUGUUGACUAUGCUCAGUCAUGUAGCUUACUCGCUGAUGCUAUUUUACCUACGCUUAGGAUGUUGACACACGCGCGUGCUCG
Molecule: ribosomal RNA, 775 nt
Filed under: uncultured Neocallimastigales
Lineage: Eukaryota; Fungi; Neocallimastigomycota; Neocallimastigomycetes; Neocallimastigales
Description: partial large subunit ribosomal RNA
Rfam family: Eukaryotic large subunit ribosomal RNA
Source: RNAcentral